Molecule: long non-coding RNA, 1100 nt
Organism: Malurus melanocephalus (red-backed fairy wren)
Lineage: Eukaryota; Metazoa; Chordata; Aves; Passeriformes; Maluridae
Exons: 3
Source: RefSeq, a predicted model, not a curated record
GCAUUUUAGCCGAAUGUUCCUGUUCAAGAGGAAGGAUAAAGCAUUCUGUACUUUACCUAUGCAGGCCCCCAGUGCUGCUGCUCCUGCCUCUCCAGAGAUGCCCUACACCCCUCUGCCUUCGGGAUCCCGRGACCUCACCAACCACAGAGGCAUUUUGGGGAAAUGUCGCUACAUUUACUACGGAAAACAUUCCGAGGGCAACAGAUUCAUCCGAGAUGACCAGCUGUGAGCACAGCACUGUUUUGUGCCUCUUCAGCCCCUCCACAUAAGAAGCACAAACCACAUCUAAAUUUUAAGCAUGUAACUAAAGUCCUCUAGUGCCUUCUGCUGACUUUGCCAAGCCUGUCAAGAUCAUCCUUCUAUCUUCGUCUGAGUAGUCACACAGAGAUUGACAUGAUUGCCUUUAAGCAGGUCCCAUCCACCAGCGUGACAGACAGCUGCAGCCGAGCACCCAGCCUGACAGGAGGAGCUCCGUGAUGGAUUGCCUGGUCCACGCUCUGCUCGCAGGAGAGCAGGGCUCACACCUGGGGCUGCUCUGAGCUGCUCCGGCGGCGGCGCCUCCGCCAAACCCCGCGUUUAUCUCUGCCCGGCCUGUUGGGCCASAGCGCCCGGUGAUACCAAAGUGUUCAUGAAACAGAGAGGCUGUCAUUUCACAUGAAAAAGCCCUUAUCUGUUCUUAUUUCUUUCCCUGUGAAUUAAGUGCUUGUGUUUCUAUCAUCUAGUACGUGCUUGCACAAAUCCUUUCACAGUUUGGUGGUACAGCGCUCACCCCCAAAUGAGCCUGGAUGGAUUACUUUUUCUUUCAGCAGGGAAAAAUAUAUAUCCUGAAAACAUUUUGGCCAUGUAAAGCAGUGUCAAUUUGUAUAGAUGUUUAUAUGCAAAGGAAAAAGAUUUAAGCAAUUUCCCAGACAAACAAAAUUUUCUAAUUCUGGAAUUGCAUCUCAUCAUUCACAAACUCCUACCUUCAGAAAAGUGAACAUUUCUUAAUGCUGUAGAAUUAUGGCAUGGCUUAACUGUCUAUCCUUCGGAGAAGUCCUCAUUAGUGAUAUUGACAGUGGRUAUUAUUCCCAAUUUAUUGCACAAGGUAUUUUUAGUUUGUA